Regulatory RNA element from Vibrio genomosp. F6 str. FF-238, 109 nucleotides. It matches the Rfam family "gltS RNA". NCBI's taxonomy places the organism in Bacteria, Pseudomonadati, Pseudomonadota, Gammaproteobacteria, Vibrionales, Vibrionaceae. The record is from Rfam.
UAUCACUAAGGAUUGUUUUUUUCGCAAAAUUUUUCCUGCGAAAGACAGAAAGGACUCAAGCUAGCCACACACAUAGGCUGGUUUAGAUUCAUAAAUAUAAAAGGACAAG